Long non-coding RNA from Sceloporus undulatus (fence lizard), 440 nucleotides. RefSeq lists it as uncharacterized. NCBI's taxonomy places the organism in Eukaryota, Metazoa, Chordata, Lepidosauria, Squamata, Phrynosomatidae. The record is from RefSeq and is a predicted model, not a curated record. The transcript is spliced from 3 exons.
UGACCCACCAUGUCACCUCUACAGCAGUGAGAGUAUUCUAGCCACUUUGGGGCCUGGAAAGUGAUAUGGUGGAAGAGAUGUGGUUCCUGAUUACAUGGAUGCCUUCCACAUGAAGAAGAACCCUUGGAAAUGAAGAACCUUGCUCUAUUCCAACUAGAACCUCUCCACUACAUGCUUUCCACACAAGGAGACCAACAAUGUAUAAAGCUGAAAAGCUUACCUGUUUCCUCCACCAGGUGAAUAAUAUUCAUCAUCUCCUGAAGCUAUUUUUGGAAGCAUUUUUAACAGAACUGUUCCAGUUACUCUAAUUAACUGAAAUGAAUAUUUAAAGGUUAUAAUUGCUGGACUCUGGCAUCCUGAGAAAUAAUAAUUACCUGUCUAAUUACAAAACUGAAAUGUGGUGUUACAUACAUACAGCUUGAAAUAAAUUUUUAAAAUGU